UGGGGAAUUUUGGACAAUGGGCGAAAGCCUGAUCCAGCAAUGCCGCGUGUGUGAAGAAGGCCUUCGGGUUGUAAAGCACUUUUGUCCGGAAAGAAAUCCUUGGCUCUAAUACAGUCGGGGGAUGACGGUACCGGAAGAAUAAGCACCGGCUAACUACGUGCCAGCAGCCGCGGUAAUACGUAGGGUGCAAGCGUUAAUCGGAAUUACUGGGCGUAAAGCGUGCGCAGGCGGUUUGCUAAGACCGAUGUGAAAUCCCCGGGCUCAACCUGGGAACUGCAUUGGUGACUGGCAGGCUAGAGUAUGGCAGAGGGGGGUAGAAUUCCACGUGUAGCAGUGAAAUGCGUAGAGAUGUGGAGGAAUACCGAUGGCGAAGGCAGCCCCCUGGGCCAAUACUGACGCUCAUGCACGAAAGCGUGGGGAGCAAACAGGAUUAGAUACCUUGGUAGUCCACGCCCUAAAACGAUGUCAACUAGUUGUUGGGGAUUCAUUUCCUUAGUAACGUAGCUAACGCGUGAAGUUGACCGCCUGGGGAGUACGGUCGCAAGAUUAAAACUUAAAGGAAUUGACGGGGUCAUAGCUGUUCCU
This 585-nucleotide ribosomal RNA is filed under the name uncultured bacterium. RNAcentral describes it as "partial 16S ribosomal RNA". It matches the Rfam family "Bacterial small subunit ribosomal RNA", at positions 355 to 937 of the family's 1533-position model. The record is from RNAcentral.